This is a long non-coding RNA of Hypanus sabinus (Atlantic stingray), 1190 nucleotides long. RefSeq lists it as uncharacterized. The record is from RefSeq and is a predicted model, not a curated record. NCBI's taxonomy places the organism in Eukaryota, Metazoa, Chordata, Chondrichthyes, Myliobatiformes, Dasyatidae. The transcript has 2 exons.
GUGGAAGCCUCGGUUUGGCAAAGAUUAAGCUAGUGUGAGGUCCUCCCUCUUUGGGCAGGAUGAGACACCAAGGACGUGAGCAGACCAAGACAAGAUGCAGCGUGUAGUGUAAAUGUCCGUGAUGGUGGGAAGAGAGACCCCGAUGAUCUUCUCAGCUGACCUCACUAUCGGCUGCAGGGUCUUGCGAUCUGAGGUGGUGUAAUUUCCGAACCAGGCAGUGAUGCAGCUGCUCAGGAUGCUCUCAAUACAACCCCUGUAGAAUGUGAUGAGGAUGGGGGGGUGGGGUGGGAGAUGGACUUUCCUCAGCCUUCGCAGAAAGUGGAGACGCUGCUGGGCUCUCUUUGCUGUGGAGCUGGUGUUGAGGGACCAGGUGAGAUCUGAGCUCUCCCUCCCCACUCUUACCUAGGUCCUCUCCAUUUAGGGUCCAUUUCUUUUAUUGCCUGCUCCUUUCCCAUUAGCCAGUUGAUGCUGUUUUACCUCCUUCCCACUCUGGUCCUUGCCCCUGCAAAUACCCCAGCCAAUUAGACCCAGAGGUAAAUGUAACGUGUGGGACCCGAGGAGUGAUAGCUGACUAAGGUGGGACCCAGCGUGAGUGGGUAGGGUGGCCAGGAGGUCUGCAUUUGUGAGUGGGCUCAAGCCCACCGUCUGGCUCUGCCUUGACGUCAGAGGCUGACAGGAAAUGAUGUAGCUGUCAGUGGUCGCUAACUCAGCCGGCUCCAUCAUGGGCACUCGCCUCCCCAGCAUCGCAGACAUCUUCAAAUAUGUCCAUUAUUCAGGCUCCCCACCCAGGACGCGCCCUCUUCUCAUUGAUACCAUCAGGGAGGAGAUACUGGAGCCUGAAGACCCAUACUCACCGUUUCAGCAACUUUCCUUCUCCUCAACCAUCAGGUUUCUAAAUGGACAAUGAACACACCUUCAUUAGUCCUACUUUGCUCCAUUUAGUUAUGUUUUAAUACACCGUAUUUUAAUGACUUUGCACUGUACUGCUGCAGCAAAACCACAAAUUUCAUAUUAUAUAAGACAACGAUAAUGAAUCUGAUUCUGAUCUGACGUUAGAUCCUGCAAAACAACCAGGGGCAUGUACGUCACCCUUGGGUGGGAUUCUGCUGAUUAAUAUGCAAAUUUAGUCAACUCCACUCUCCAUCAUAUCGAAGGGGGCAUUCCCCACCACCCACCCACAGCCCCCGGCA